UACGUGAGGUGCAAGCGUUGUUCGGAAUUAUUGGGCGUAAAGCGCACGUAGGCGGGGUGGUGUGUCGAUUGUGAAAGCCCGAGGCUCAACCUCGGAAUUGCAGUCGAAACUGCUACUCUUGAAUACUUGAGAGGGUGGGGGAAUUCCUGGUGAAGCAGUGAAAUGCGUAGAUAUCAGGAGGAACAUCGGAGGCGAAGGCGCCUACCUGGCAAGAUAUUGACGCUGAGGUGCGAAAGCGUGGGGAGCAAACAGG
This 253-nucleotide ribosomal RNA is filed under the name uncultured bacterium. RNAcentral describes it as "partial 16S ribosomal RNA". It matches the Rfam family "Bacterial small subunit ribosomal RNA", at positions 524 to 776 of the family's 1533-position model. The record is from RNAcentral.